This is a non-coding RNA of Mesocricetus auratus (golden hamster), 112 nucleotides long. Lineage: Eukaryota; Metazoa; Chordata; Mammalia; Rodentia; Cricetidae. The record is from Rfam.
GUCUGCAGCCAUACCACUCUGCAUGCACCCGAUCUUCUCUGAUCUUGGAUGCUAAGCAGCAUCGGGCCUGGUUAGUGCUUGGAUGGGAGGCAGUGUAGUGUGAAUGCAUUCA